Molecule: signal recognition particle RNA, 346 nt
Filed under: Mandrillus leucophaeus (drill)
Lineage: Eukaryota; Metazoa; Chordata; Mammalia; Primates; Cercopithecidae
Description: Metazoan signal recognition particle RNA (ENSMLEG00000022385.1)
Rfam family: Metazoan signal recognition particle RNA
About the family: The signal recognition particle (SRP) is a universally conserved ribonucleoprotein. It is involved in the co-translational targeting of proteins to membranes.
Source: RNAcentral
UCUGGGUACAAUGGCUAAUGCCUAUAAUCCCAGCAUUUUAGGAGGCCAAGGUGGGAGGAUCACUUGAGCCUCAGAAUUCGAGGCUGCAGUGAGCUAUGACCAUGCCCACUGCACUUCAGACUUCAGCCUGGGCAACAGAGGCCCUGCCUCUUAAAAAAAAAAAAGAAAGAAAGAAAAACAUGGUGUCCUCCUGGGAGUGAAAGACCAGCAGGUUGCCUACAAAGGGGUGAACUGACCCAGGCUGGAAACUGAGCAGGUCAAAACUCCUGUGCUGAUUAGUAGUGGGAUUGCACCUUUGAAUAUCCACUGCACUGUAGCCUGGCCAACACAGUGAGACCCCAUGUCU